ACAGAGGGAGAGAGAAUCCACAACAUAGUAAACAGCACCAGUGAAAGUGCAUGGCGGCAGUCUUUCUCCCUGCCGCUGGGAAGACAGCCAGAUAGGUCUGCCUUCUGCAAGUCAGUCCACUGGCGCGACACAAGACAGGAAACUCACAGGAAAGAAUGGGGGGACCAGAGAGGCAGGAGCCAGGUCGGGGACAGUAAGCCUGUCGGAAGUUAUUGUUUUCGGACCAACACAGGCGUCUGUCCGCAGUCGAAAGAGUAAUCUUCCAGUCGGGUCUCGCCUGGGACAGGUUCUACUUAUGUCAUGACCCCUCCAAUAGGGAUUUUCUGGGACAGGAAGCCCCGAAGCUCGUCACCACAAGAGUCGUGUUGUGUCCUGCUUGUAAUAACAGUAGCAAGUAGUUAUUUAAUAGAUUUUAUGAACUUCCUUAUUCAAUGACCUUAAUUUCAUACCUAUGGGCCAUGAGGAACGGGAGGAGACUGACCUUUUGGAUGUAAACAAUGCUUAUGAUAACUAUCACAACUACCUCCCCGCUCUUGUGUGGUAUUCUAUGGCCUGGCUGCCAUGGUCUCACCCUGACCUGCAGCCCGGGGCGUCAUGGCGAUGGUCGAGGAGGUGAGGCUCGUGCUUAACGCCACAAUAAGGGACCAUCGGCCAAAAGAGGAAAUCUGACCUGCUGUUUGGCAGUCUCUACAAACCGCCUUCCCCUGUGGCCUAGCCAACCACCCUGACCUCGAGCCACCCCUGUUGAUUGUUUAAGGAAGAACCUCCCUAAACACACACAGCUAUAAAUACCUGGCGGCUCUUCAGCAAAGAGGAUUUUAAUAGACUGAGAAGAGCCUCAUCUACUGAUAAACAACAACUUGGUCUGAGACAGGUUCCACGUCGCUAGAAUAGCCUUUUUACUCUGGCAGGAAACACAGCAGAGAUACAGUAUGUUUGGUGUUUAACUCUGUCACUCCUCCAUAGACCUAACCUUUUCUGUAAUAAUAAUGUGAAUAAAUAAUAGACCGUUAUAUUACUGUAUGCUCCUGUACGGGGGGAGCCUACUUUUAGUAUCAUCCUAGGGUUUGGAAAUGUGCCAAGUCUACUAGGGUCCCGAACUGUGCCAAAAGAGAGAUGAAAUCCCUAUGACUGUAAGCAGUACAGGGCUGAGGGCUCGCACAGCUGUUCAAACUUCCCAGAAGCCCCGAUCUCAUAGCCUAACAUGGCAUAAUAGAAAACACACUCCAGUCUAAACGACCCAGCACAACACAGCUGUUUCAUCUGCUAGUCCAGUGCCAAUUCCCUUAAUUCCUUUAACAGGGUGUAGUUGGUCAAGAAAGACAACACAAACACGUGUGGCACUUGAGGCGUGUAGGCAACACUAUUCAAUUGAUCAAUGGAACAAAUCCAGCAAGUGUAACAAACUAACAACAAUGAAUGGAUCAUUUCUUCAGGAGCUGUGGUGCAGUGGUUGGACACGCUUGAUGCUCUCCUUAGCUAUGGGGCCACAGAGGUCCCUAUCUGAAUAAUCUUUUAUCUAUAGCGACAUUGAGGCCCCGGUUCAUUGACUGAACCCUGAGCUUUUUAACCACUUUAAGGAUCACAUGGUUGGAGUUGGUUCUAUCAUCCAAACUACGAUAAGAUCACAAAGUCUGAUCAUAUCGGGUUGGGAAGGCUUCAUGCUGUAAUGAAAAGUCACAGAUAAGGCCAUGUGAUUAUCUAAUGUGGUGUAGUCGCUUAUUCUUUGUAAAAAAAAAAAAACAUUG
Long non-coding RNA from Salvelinus namaycush (lake trout), 1748 nucleotides. RefSeq lists it as uncharacterized. The record is from RefSeq and is a predicted model, not a curated record. NCBI's taxonomy places the organism in Eukaryota, Metazoa, Chordata, Actinopteri, Salmoniformes, Salmonidae. The transcript has 2 exons.